Molecule: ribosomal RNA, 253 nt
Filed under: uncultured bacterium
Lineage: Bacteria
Description: partial 16S ribosomal RNA
Rfam family: Bacterial small subunit ribosomal RNA
Source: RNAcentral
UACGAAGGGGGCUAGCGUUGUUCGGAAUUACUGGGCGUAAAGCGCACGUAGGCGGGUCGUUAAGUCAGGGGUGAAAUCCCGGAGCUCAACUCCGGAACUGCCUUUGAUACUGGCGAUCUUGAGAUCGGAAGAGGAUGGUGGAAUUCCCAGUGUAGAGGUGAAAUUCGUAGAUAUUGGGAAGAACACCGAUGGCGAAGGCAGCCAUCUGGACCGACACUGACGCUGAGGCGCGAAAGCGUGGGGAGCAAACAGG